CUAUGAUUCAUAUCCCCAGAUAUUCUCUGGCAUUCUCACUAUAUAGUUUCCUUUUUUUUUUUUUUUUUUUUGUACUGUAUUGCUUUUUUUUUUUUUUUUCCCCCAGAAAGAGAAAAUCUUACUGGAGAAAACCAUGCCAAGCCUGAGAACAUUGAGUACCCAAGGCCAAGCUCAACAAGGGCAGAGAACUUUCCGGCAAGAAAUUAUCCCAUCUGUAACAAGGCCAGUCUCAUGGUCUACAGCUCACAAUUGGCAAGAAGAUAGAUUAAAUGGACAUUCAAGGACCUGCACAUUUGGUCCCAGCAUCCUCCCAGUUCACCCCGUAGGCCACCCACAUGGACUCAUUGUCCUCAUUUUUGUGUUACAACUUUCGCACAUGCUACUUCCUUUGCCUGGAAAGACUUCUUUCUGAUUCUACUUGCCUGGAAAAGCCCAACCAUCCUUUAAGAAUCAGCUCAAAGGUCACCUCCUCUAUGAAGGCUCUCCUGUAUACUCAGUCAUUCACCCACACAUGCUUAUUGAGUACUGUUGUGCUCUUCAGCCAAGACUACCAUGAACCUGCCAGCAAUGAAACAAGGAGGCUCAGAAACUUCGUAUCUACCAGUGUGGCUGGUAUAGACUUUGGCUGCCAUUCACAGGAUUAUCAAGAAGAUCGAGAUCCCAAAAAGCUAAGGAGCUACUGUCCUGGAAGGGAAGAAAACCCACUCCUGGCUUCAAAAGACAGCCAUUGGCUCUAUAACCCUGGCCAGAGUCCAGACAGGAUUGGGGAGAGGAGGUGGGAAACCUAUCCCCUGAUGGCACAGCAGAGACAGAGCGAGAAAGAGCAGAGGAGGAGGAAGAGGGAAGGGGAAAGAAUCUUAAGCAGUCUUCAUGCUCUUCAUGGAGCCUGAUGCAGAGCUUGUUGCAGGACUGGACCUCAUGACCCUGAGAUCACAACGUGAGCCGAAACCAAGAGGCAGCCACUCAACCAACUGAGAUCCCCAGGUGUCCCUGCCAUUUCAUUUUUAAAAACACAGUCUAUGCAUUGCAUUUUUGCUCAUUCAGAUCCGCAAUUCUGUUAUUAGUCUGAACCACAGUGGUCCCUCUUGUCUUUAGAACACCACUCCAGGGUUCAGUGGAGAGAGCAGAGGGAGCACUAUUGAGCACUAUCUUUGGAGUCAGGCCAGCAUCUGGCCAUGUUAUUGUGGAGGCCAAGAAAAAUCAAGGCCAUCCCACCUAAAGUUUAGCAUUAGCACAAGUGCAGCCAUCUUAGGCCCCUGUGAAUGAGAGCUGAACUUUAUGGGAAAAACUGCAGAAUGUCCUCAAUGUCCUCGGCAGGUAAUCCCAUAUCAGAAAGACAACAGAGCCCACACCCGUGGUAGAAAAAGUCCCAUAUUAGAAUGAGAACAGAGCUCAAUGGCCUCAAAAGCCCCAUAUCAAAAUGUAAACAGAACUUGAGAAAUUCCUCUACCCCUUCUGAAAAUCCCCUAGACCAGCCUAUAAAAAAAACAGCUGUAACCCACUUCGGGGUCCAAGUCCCUGCUCCGCUGUGUCGGGCACACUUGGACGGACCCAAGCUCGAGCUUGCUAAUAAACCCUCGUGCGCUUGCAUUGGUGUCGGCUCCUUGGUGGUUUCUCGGAUUCGCAAUCUUGGGCACAACAGUUAUCUUCUGUUCCUUAGGAUGAGACUCAGAUGCUGUCUGUAGAGUCUAUAGCCAGUACAAACUCUCAGGAAGUCCUUUCAGCUUUGUAUGUUCAGAGGCAGAAGGUAUGGUAUAGUUUCCCCCCGGCAAGAAAAUUGUACUCAUCAACUGACAUUAGGCAUGGUAAGUGAACAGAGACCCCUGAGUCUCAUAAAGCCUUUGCUUCAAUGUGCUGCAUCAUCUAGGAUGCCCCUCUGCAUGUGCAAGAGUAAGCUCUUGUGAAGAGCUGAUCACUCUAGAGUCCUUGGGGGAAUGCAAAUAUAAAGCCCGCUAGAAUUACGACAAAGAAAAGGCACCCUCACUUUUCAUUCCUUUUUGUCCCCUUAUUUCCGUAAAUGCAAAUUCUACCAACAACUUUAGCAGCUUAGUGAUAGUUCAUGAAUUACAGGAACACUAAAAGCCAUUGGUUUGCUUCUUACUUAUAAAAGGCAACGAACAACGUGAGAGGUGUCAAACUUUUCCAGCUACAUCUGUCUUCUCUUUCUAAGUAAAUAAAAAUAGGUAAUGAUAAUAAUAACAACAGGUUAUUGUUUAUUUGGUUCUGGUGAUAUGGCAGGGACUGUUGCCCUAUGAUUUUGCUUGUGGCCUUCAGAACUGCUCCAUACCACAACCACAAGAAGUGGAUGUCCACUACCUUGGGAACUGUGACAAUGGCCGUCAACAUGACAUAGCUAUUUGGACUUAGAACUGAGACCCCCCUGUGUCAAUAUGACUUAGCUAUUUGCUCCAUUAUAACUUUGCCUGAGAAAGAUAAUAAUAUAAACCAAUAAAUAAGUUCUCUGUUUGUUUCAGGAAAUUCCUGCAGAUAACUUAUCUGAGAUAAGAGUCUGUUCACCCUGAACAAAUUUCUUGUUCUCAAAGCACGGUUACCCAUCGAGACUUGCUUUAAGGCCCUCACCUCCCUGUACUCACAGAUCCUAAACCAUAAUGUCAGGAUCUUAGCCCAAUUCUGGGCAAUUCCUUCCUUGAAAUAUUCACUUGAAGUCACUUGAACCAAGACCUCCAAACCCUAUCCUAUCCCAGAAUAUCCUAUUCUGAACUCCCUUUCCUGAAAUGCUAAGACUUUAUCAAGGUGAUAUCUCCUGCAUUCAAUUAUAUGAUAAUAUUUCAGGGAGUUCUUAUUUUGCAAAUGAACAAGAGAAGCCUAGAGAAUUUCAGUAAUUUAUUCUAGUUUAUCCACUUAGUUAAAGGGUUCCUAUCUGGAACUAUUUGACCCCAUCCCUUGUUCCUCGUCGCUCUGCUACUCUGCCUUUCAGUUGAAAUAAAAGUCCAUUUUUUUUUCAAUUUUAUCUCUGAACCUAUUUAACUUUCUAAGACUAAAAAAAAAUUCAAGCGGGACACCUGGGUGGCUCAGUGGCUGAAUGUCUGCCUUUGGCUAAAGGCGUGAUCCCGGAAUCCUCGGAUCGAGUCCCAUGUCAGGCUCUCUGCCUGUGUCUCUGCCUCUCUCUCUGUGUGUCACUCAUGAAUAAAUAAAUAAAAUCUUAAAAAAAAUUCAAGCAAUGGCCUAGUCUUUGUAGUUACUGUGUGACCUUAUGCAUUUAAUUGGCUACAGAAAAAUAACACUGUAUUUCAAAAUAAACCACAGCAAUGGUGACCCACCAACAUUCUCUAAAUGAAGGAUGUAAAUUAAACAAGAGCCAAGAGGCCAGAAUUAUAAUUGGUGUAACUUAUAAACUGUUAGCAAGUUAUUCAGCUGGUCUAUUCAUUUCCUACGGUUGUCAUAACAAAUUACCACAAAGUUGAUGGCUUAAGGCAACAAAAAUUUAUUCAUUCACAGUUCUGAAGGCCACAAGUCCAAAAUCAAGGUAUCGGCAGGGCCAGGCUCCCCAUGGAGAUUCUGAGGGAGAAUCUGCUCCAUGCCCGUCUUCUAGCUUGUGGUGCCUCCUGACAACCCUUGGCAUUCCUUGUCUGGGCCUUCAUAACCCCAAUCUCUGCCUUCUUGUUCAUGCAGCUUUCCUUCUGUGUCUCUGUGUCUUCUUUUCUGUUUCUAAUAAGGACAUUUGUCAUUAGAUGUAAGGCCCACCUGAAUUCAGAAUGAUCUUAUCUAGGGACCCUUAUCUUCAUAAUAUCUACAAAGACC
This 3762-nucleotide long non-coding RNA is filed under the name Canis lupus familiaris (dog). Its description in RNAcentral is "lncRNA (ENSCAFG00000053244.1)". The record is from RNAcentral. Lineage: Eukaryota; Metazoa; Chordata; Mammalia; Carnivora; Canidae.